This 484-nucleotide ribosomal RNA is filed under the name uncultured bacterium. RNAcentral describes it as "partial 16S ribosomal RNA". It matches the Rfam family "Bacterial small subunit ribosomal RNA", at positions 29 to 507 of the family's 1533-position model. The record is from RNAcentral.
AUUGAACGCUGGCGGAAUGCUUUACACAUGCAAGUCGAACGGCAGCACGGGGGCAGCCCUGGUGGCGAGUGGCGGACGGGCGAGUAAUUCAUCGGUACGUGCCCGGUCGUUGGGUCUAAGGUAACGAAAGUUACGCUAAUACCGCAUUCGAUCCGACGAUGAACGGGGGGGACCUUCGGGCCUCGGGCGAUCGGGGCGUUCGAUGUCGGAUUGGCUAGUUGGCGGGGUAAAGGCCUAGCAAGCCGACAAUCCGUAGCUGGUCUGAGAGGACGACCAGCCACACUGGAACUGAGACACGGCCCAGACUCCUACGGGAGGCAGCAGUGGGGAAUGUGGGACAAUGGGCGCAAGCCUGAUCCAGCCAUUCCGCGUGCAGGACGAAGGCCUUCGGGUUGUAAAGUGCUUUUGUACGGAAAGAAAAGGCUCUGGCUAAUACCUGGCGCUCAUGACGGUACCGGAAGAAUAAGCACCGGCUAACUACGUG